GGCCAAUCUCUAUGUAUUAAACGGGCUUGAUUGUAACUAUAAAGUAUAAACGGACCGGGUUUCAGGCAAUACCCGACCCGGAUAAAAUAAAAGUUCCCUUGUCUUGUCUUGUUGCUGUGUUCUUCUUCUUCAUUGUUUCACUAGCAGCUCUUUGAGAAAUCGGGAAACAAAGAACUCGCUGCUUUCAAUGACAAUCAAACAGACUACACAAUCUGCAGAUGAUUCAAACCCCGUGAGAUUCCAACGAGCUUGAAUCCUAGCAGCUACUACUCAGUGGCGGAGACGAUUUCCCACAGGAUGAAAAGGAGAAAUGUUGGGAGAACGCAAUGGUUGUCGAUGGAAUGAACAAAGACAGAUGGUGCCUAGAUGUCCAAGGAAAUCUGGUUUGCAAGCCUUUACACAGAGGCUCUCUUGGAGCACAUUGCUUCCAGUUUCAUGCAAUUGACAAAGACAAGGAACUCACAGCUGAAAACUGUCAGAUUCUGUGUGCUGCUGCAGCCCGAGGAUUGAAGCCGGACUCUUCUUUUACUCAAGAAGAUUUUAAGCUGGUUGAAAUAGCUCUCUACGGUGGAAGCAGUGUCGACAAGUGAAUGACGAUAUAGAUCCAGAAGCUAGAAUAAUUUGUGUUUUUAUGACUUUUAGCCUUAGCUAAUCUAUGUUGUAUGUAACUUUAGCCUUAUCUAAUCCUAUGUUGUAGUGCGUGGAGCCUAAACAUCAUUAUAAAAUGAAUAUUGUCUAA
Arabidopsis lyrata subsp. lyrata is the source of this 739-nucleotide long non-coding RNA. RefSeq lists it as uncharacterized. The transcript is spliced from 3 exons. The record is from RefSeq and is a predicted model, not a curated record. NCBI's taxonomy places the organism in Eukaryota, Viridiplantae, Streptophyta, Magnoliopsida, Brassicales, Brassicaceae.